CAGCAGCCGCGGUAAUACGUAGGUGGCAAGCGUUGUCCGGAAUUAUUGGGCGUAAAGGGCCCGCAGGCGGUUUCUUAAGUCUGAUGUGAAAGCCCCCGGCUCAACCGGGGAGGGCCAUUGGAAACUGGGAAACUUGAGUGCAGAAGAGGAGAGUGGAAUUCCACGUGUAGCGGUGGAAUGCGUAGAGAUGUGGAGGAACACCAGUGGCGAAGGCGACUCUCUGGUCUGUAACUGACACUGAGGAGCGAAAGCGUGGGGAGCGAACAGGAUUAGAUACCCCAGUAGUCCCUGUCUCUUAUAC
RNAcentral lists this ribosomal RNA (301 nucleotides) under uncultured bacterium. RNAcentral's name for it is "partial 16S ribosomal RNA". It matches the Rfam family "Bacterial small subunit ribosomal RNA", at positions 509 to 807 of the family's 1533-position model. The record is from RNAcentral.